This is a non-coding RNA of Oncorhynchus mykiss (rainbow trout), 3519 nucleotides long. The record is from RefSeq and is a predicted model, not a curated record. NCBI's taxonomy places the organism in Eukaryota, Metazoa, Chordata, Actinopteri, Salmoniformes, Salmonidae.
UGUGACACAUCGCCCCAGAUCAUGACGGACCCUCCACCUCCCUCCAUAUCGAUCCCGCUCCAGAGUAUUGUCCUCGGUGUAACGCUCAUUCCUUCGACAAAAAUGCUCAUUCCUUCCAAAAUGUUGAUCUCUUUCUCUCCCUCUCCUCUCCCCAUUCUCUCUCUCUCCCAGUGUGUGAGUCGUGUCUGGCAGGUACUGAGCCUGCUGUAGGUUAUCAGUUUAAGUGGUGGAAUGUUGGACCAGCCAACAUGAAGACGUCCUGCAUCAACGUGAGAAGCUCCAAGUGUGACGGUAUUAACGGUUGGGAGGUAGCGGGGAAUCAUAUCUGCAGUGGCGCACGGGGCUCUGAUAAUGACUACCUCAUCCUCAACCUCCACGUACCUGGCUUCAAGUGCGUCAGAAUGUGAACGGCAUGGUGCAUAUCUACUCCAUCUCAGUGAGUAACACGGUAGACGGUGUGUCGUCAGAGUGUCAGGCCUGUGCCCUUCUCUCCCAACCCUCCGGCUCGCUGUGUGUCCCCUGCCCUCCAGGACACUACAUACACACACUCACACACACACCAGCCAGUGCACAGAGUGCCCCCCAACACACACCUCACCUCACAUAACACCCAGAGCCCAGAGGUCUGCAAACCCUGUGGACCAUCCAGCAAGAGUAACAAGGUGUGUGUGUGUGUGGACGUGUUUAGCUAUCCUUGCGGAGACCCGAAGUCCCCACAAGAAUAGUAAACAAACAAAAAUUGGACCAAUUGGGGACACAAUGCUAUUUCUAGGGGGUUUAGGGUUAAGGUUAGAGUUAGGGUUAGAAUUACGUUUAGGGUUAGGAGCUAGGGUUAGGGUUAAGGUUAGGUUUUUGGGUUAGGGUUAGGGUAAGGGUAAGAAUACGGGUGAGGGAAAAUAGGAUUUUGAAUGGGACUGAAUUGUGUGUCCACACAAGGUUAGCUGUACAAGACUGUGUGUGUGUGAAGGUGGGUCGAGCUUGGUGAAGAAAAGUGUGUGUCCAUUGUUUCUUCCACAAGUUGCAUAAUAGUGCACAACUGAAUGUUUGUGUGUUUUUCCUACUCUGAUAACAAAGGGUCUCAGAGUUUUGACUAUAGUUCUCUCGGCUCUGUUGGAACACUGAUGAACAGACCCAGUUUUACCUCUAAAGGAACUAAGUACUACCACCUCUUCAACAUCAGCCUCUGUGGAGAGGAUAGGAGGGCUGUGUGUACAGAUAAUGUGACUGUGCUAUCCAGCGCCGACUCUCAGAGAGAGACAGGGGAAUCAGCCAAUGUGGUGGAGAGUUUCAUCUGUCAAUCAACCAUCAUCCCCUCCAGUGGGCGGGGCUUCCGCACAGCACUAUCCUCCCAGUCCAUCAGCUCAGCAGACACGUUCUUGGGACACGCUGUAUGUGUAGAAUGAACCAAAGCUGUGUAAAGGAGGGGUGUCCCUCCCAGAGAACAAGACCUCUCCGUGUAAUAGCAUGGACUUCUUGGUACAGAUGGGGUCGGCGAUAGGAGCAUUCAUUAGAAAGUACCUAGUACCUGUAAUGGAUUACAUUUAGAAAGUAACCUUCCCAACCCUGUUGAUGGCUGAAUGUGUGUAGGAGCACCAGUGGCCUCUGGAUGGAGUGAAGGCAAGACCAGACUUGUUCCAUAAGACCACCAACAAAGUCCUAAAUGCAAACUUCUACCAUUCUCUAGGGCAACCUCGGCAUGUGAAGCGGGUCGUAAUGUGGUGGUGACACUUCGCUGUAACUCGGAUAGGAGCUCACAAGGAGAACUCAGGUACCCAGUCAGUGUCCGGCUGGGAGAUGUGACUGCUGUACCUCGAGGGCGUGUCCUCAGUGUACCGCCACGGACUACCACCAGAUAGACAGCCUGCAAGGGAGAUGUAACAUGCUGUACGUCUGGAAUGAACCAAAACUGUGUAAAGGAGGGGUGUCCCUCCCGGAGAACAAGACCUGGCCGUGUAAUAGCAUGGACUUCUUGGUAAAGAUGGGGGCGGCGAUAGGAGUAUUCACCGCUGCACUGCUCUUCAUCACCUGCUACUUCUGGAAGAAGAACAAGAGGCUGGAGUAUAAGUCCUCUAAGCUGGUGAUGUCGUCCAAUAAGGAGUGUGAACUGCCAGUGGUUGGACAGCUGUGAUGGAGGGAGGGAGAGGUGGAGGACGAGGUAGUCUACUCCAAAAAAAACAUCACUGUUACGCAAACUCAAAGCCAUCACAUCUAGGGGAAACAGAGAAAGUUAUGAAACUGAACAGUUGAACUACACACAGUCAAACGGAUUGGUGUUGGGGGUGAAGAAAGAGGAAAGAGAACAGGGAGAGAGACCAACCCCUCAGAGACUUUUUCAACAGAUCACCCCUGUUGAGUGUUUGAAACCUUAACAUACAUACUACAGGAGGUUGGUGGCACCUUAAUGGGGGAGGAGGGUUUCGUGGUAAAGGUUGGAGUGGAAUAGCAUGAAAUACAUCAAACAUGGUUUCCAUGUGUUUGAUGUCAGUCCAUUCGCUCCGUUCCGGCCAUUACUAUGAGCUGUCCUCCCAUCAGCAGCCUCCUGUGAUACAUACACACAUGCAGAGUACACACACCCCCUGAGAGAACACACACCCAUAAUGUACGCGCACUGACACAAACACAUGUGAAAGGACAUUACACCCUUCUUUCAUUAUCUCUGGAUUGUUGGUAUAUGGAUGGCAUGAUUUAAGAGGGUGUGUAUGGUGUGGUAUAUGGGUGGUGUAAUUUAAGAGGGUGUGUAUGGUGUGGUAUAUGGGUGGUGUAAUUUAAGAGGGUGUGUAUGGUGUGGUAUAUGGCUGGCAUGAUUUAAGAGGGUGUGUAUGGUGUGGUAUAUGGGUGGUGUAAUUUAAGAGGGUGUGUAUGUGGUAUAUGGCUGGCAUGAUUUAAGAGGGUGUGUAUGGUGUGGUAAAUGGGUGGUGUAAUUUAAGAGGGUGUGUAUGUUGUGGUAUAUGGGUGAUGUAAUUUAAGACGAUGUGUGUGGUAUAUGGGUCGUGUAGAGUCUAAAUGUGGGAUGUUUUUGUGCUAUUUUCCGUCACUCUGUUAUCAGGUUGCUUUGGUGGCCAUGUUGUUUUUAUUCAGGUGUUUUGCCAUCUGAGACCAACUUCACACCAACCCUUAAACUAAUAAUCUGGAUAUGAGGAAAGAAAGUGUUCCACGUGCCCUCUGAAAGGCUUGGUGGGAUGUUCUUUCUGUCCAAUCCUUUGAGAUAGAAGUGCACACAUAGCCCUAGAUACCCGGCCGACUUACACACACACACACCCUUGUACAGUCUCAUCUCAGUCUGACCAGCACCGUCCGUGAGCAGUGACACAUUUGAUCUGUCUGGUUUGUUUUAGGGGGGCUGUGUAGGCUUUGGGAUACCAUGGUGAUGUUGAAGAGGGAGUGUCCCUCACCCUCUCCUAGUUCAGUCAGGCGUGGCGAUGUUACAUUAUGCAUACGAUGAUAUGAUUCUGACCUUCUUUCUGUUAUUUCAAGUUAAAUAAAUUGUUUGUGUACACUUUGAAUCUGUCCCUUCACUUC